This is a long non-coding RNA of Mugil cephalus (flathead mullet), 2869 nucleotides long. RefSeq lists it as uncharacterized. The transcript has 4 exons. NCBI's taxonomy places the organism in Eukaryota, Metazoa, Chordata, Actinopteri, Mugiliformes, Mugilidae. The record is from RefSeq and is a predicted model, not a curated record.
UUUAAAUCAGCACUUGGCUGCAAUUCUCUUGAAAACAGUUCCUGCAGUCCAAUAAAUAAAUUCAAAUUAAACUUUGUGAAGCUAUCGUUGUAGUGCAGCCUCCGACCACUAGUGGCAGCAAUGCAAUCAGCACAGGUGUGCUUUGAAAAUGGCGCACUGCGCCAUCUUGGAUUUAAUCUAAAUGAAUAAAAUGCGCCCGAAUCCUGCUUUAAUCUGACCUCAGACAAACAUUUUUAUUUUCCAUACCCUGGCGUAUCGUCGAGAACAAAGGCUUUCCUCAAAUGGAGCUGAUGCUACGAGUACCUCCCGACUCUAGCUCGGACAAAAGAGGAGCCAGCCACCCUCCGUGACUUCAUCCAGCCUAUCAAUCCAGUCCCCUGAGGCGUCUGUCUGGGAUCUGCCAGGCUCAUCAGUGUGGAGAGGAGAAGGCUAACUGGGAGCCCUUACUGGCUGUAAAUCUGACCAGAGGGAGGGGAACCUGCAGUGGCCACACUUCCCCUGCAACCCAAAUACCUUUAAAAGUACUUGUUCUGGCCCAUGGCUCUGGAACCGCCAAUGGUUUCAUGCACUGAUCGUGAGGUGUGUGUUAUUGACCACGAAGGACAGGUAGGACUUUUGACGUCUCACACCAACACCAGUAAUCCGCAGAAAGCAGCCAUACUGUCUCCACAGCAAGAGGAAAUAAUAACACGACGUCGCCCACUGUAUAACGAUUAAAGGUAUGGCCGUUUUUCUUCCUACUUUGGCCGUAGGCCUACAUGGACUAUUGUUUUAUGACUUUUUAGUCUACAGGAAAAGCCGUGCAUUGACUAGACAAAGCUAACUUGCAGAAAUGCGAUGGAUAAUAUGCAGUGACAGGCGGAUUUAUACUUUAAAAAAAAAAAAAAAAUAUAUAUAUAUAUAUAUAUUUCAAAAGGGCGUACAGCGGAAAUAAAGUUAAAAUUAAACAAAUAUGUGUUGUACACGUAUUUUAAGCUCUUAACUUUUACUCUCGCUUCUGAUAUUUUAAAACGUUUUGCCAGAAAUUUCAACAAAACUUGUUUGAUACUGCAUUUAAUUAUUUGCUACAUAAUGUAACUAAUCUAAACCAACAAAAUGUGCAGAUGAAUAUCCACAUUACCUUUUAAACAAACGUAGUAGUAGUUGUUUUGCCUUACAAAAAAAUACUUGGACACAUGAUGUUUCAUUUUUAUUUACAAUAAAUACAAAAUAUUUACGCAGUGGAUAAAUACAGAUAUGUCCAUAUAUGCAAAUUACAAAUGGUCCUAAACACACCAGUGGAAUAAAUUUUGCUCUGCAACGCACACUUUUUUUUGUUAAAUUAAUGUUGUGCUCGCUGAAGCUGUAGUUUAGUAAUCACGGACACCUACGCCAGGGUUAACAUUUGCUGUGACAAACUAAGGAUGACACGACACAUCUAUCACUAAAUCAGACCGCAGCAUUUCAAAGAAAAAGCAAAACUAAGACCUUUUAGAUACUCAACACACUGAUCAGCUGCUGAGUUUACUUUGUUAAAUGUAAAAAGUAGCCGUGCUCGUGGUUGUGUGUCGGGGCGUCAGAGCUGCAGGCCGCUGUCAGCCAGACAAGAGAAAGGGGUCUGAUAACCUCUGGUGGUGACCAGUGGAAAAUAUCAGGAAGUGUUGCAACUGUCUCUAAUUUAUGGCUAUUUUAGUUCAGAUAACUUCUUUUUAUCCCCCUGUCCUGAUUUUAACUUUGUAUUGUCUCAUUUUAACGUCUGUUUUUAUUAUUUAUGGAAUAUCGAGUUUACAGGGGUUUGUUUUUAUCGUUUAAUGUGUUUUUAUUUUGGUUAGCUGUUAAACUUGAAGGCCAGCCAAUACAGACGUUUGCACUAAAACCAUACCUGAGCUAAACCGGAAAUGUUUGUUUGGGAUAUCACUGUGUACUUAAACACAUUGAUAUUAAUAUUAAUGCAGUCCGUGCAUAAUUUUGUGAUUUAAUUCUGUGUAGCCUAUAUAUCCGACCAUCAUGGUCGCUCCGAUUUAGAUUAUUUUCAUGUAUUUAGUUAUUUGAAUAUGUGCAUAUGCAACACAUGUAAUAGCUCUAAUAUUUGAUUUAAAAAAAAAAAACUGUCCAAGUCCAAGCUAUUUUUAUUUUUUAUUUUUGAAUUCAAUUUCAACUGUCAACGUGAGCCAAGAUUGGUUUGAAAAAUCGCCAUUUAUUCAUCACAAACAGUCUUCUUGGGGUGAGUAUUUUACAAUGAAUUUCUUGAUAAUUCCGUAGCAUAUAUUACGCACAGCCACAUACGAGCACAUACGCACUGAGGCUUCUCAGUCAGAAUUUAAAAAUAACUAAAUCAUCCUGAUAAAUUAUUACAAUUUUAAAAUACCUUAUUUGCACAAAUAGGUCAUAGGAGCUUAUUACACUACAACUGUACCGGUCAAGUUCAAAUGUGUGUGUGUGUGUGUGUGUGUGUGUGUGUGUGUGUAUACAUAUAUUAUGGCGACUUUGAAAUUUUAACUAAUAGCAUUAUCCUCUGUGUGAUUCUUAAUGCUACAUGUUUUAUUGUAAAAGCUUAUUCGGAAUUGAUAUUCGUUGUGUAGCAAAGGCGCAUUAAAUAUUGUGUGUUGUUGUAAACAAAUGAAAAAGAUCGCCCAAACCUUUCAACUAAAACGUUUCUGUGGGUUGUUUAGGCUUCCCUAGGUGGUUGGUUUCCCUUGAAGGAAGCUUUAAAGGGGUUGCACAGGGCUAUAACUGUGGCAACCUGCCUGUAGAGAAUCAAAGAGAGAAAAAGAGAAGAAAAGCCCUUUGUUUAGGCUAUUGCCCUGUCUGGACAGGACCAGUGAAUUCCAGGGGGCUAAUUUCAAUAUAGAGCAGACAGUGUACUAGACAGUGACCUUGACAGUGCUAU